GACGAACGCUGGCGGCGUGCCUAGUACAUGCAAGUUGAGCGCUGAAGGUUGGUACUUGUACCAACUGGAUGAGCAGCGAACGGGUGAGUAACGCGUGGGGAAUCUGCCUUUGAGCGGGGGACAACAUUUGGAAACGAAUGCUAAUACCGCAUAAAAACUUUAAACACAAGUUUUAAGUUUGAAAGAUGCAAUUGCAUCACUCAAAGAUGAUCCCGCGUUGUAUUAGCUAGUUGGUGAGGUAAAGGCUCACCAAGGCGAUGAUACAUAGCCGACCUGAGAGGGUGAUCGGCCACAUUGGGACUGAGACACGGCCCAAACUCCUACGGGAGGCAGCAGUAGGGAAUCUUCGGCAAUGGACGAAAGUCUGACCGAGCAACGCCGCGUGAGUGAAGAAGGUUGUCGGAUCGUAAAACUCUGUUGGUAGAGAAGAACGUUGGUGAGAGUGGAAAGCUCAUCAAGUGACGGUAACUACCCAGAAAGGGACGGCUAACUACGUG
This 497-nucleotide ribosomal RNA is filed under the name uncultured bacterium. RNAcentral's name for it is "partial 16S ribosomal RNA". It matches the Rfam family "Bacterial small subunit ribosomal RNA", at positions 28 to 507 of the family's 1533-position model. The record is from RNAcentral.